This is a long non-coding RNA of Capra hircus (goat), 448 nucleotides long. RefSeq lists it as uncharacterized. The record is from RefSeq and is a predicted model, not a curated record. The transcript is spliced from 2 exons. NCBI's taxonomy places the organism in Eukaryota, Metazoa, Chordata, Mammalia, Artiodactyla, Bovidae.
GUUCUCAGCAGCUCAGUGGAGCCUCCUGACGCCUUCCCAGGAGCGCCUCCGAGGUGGUGGCCAGUCAGCCAGCUCUGCAGGCCUGUCGCCAAGGCCUCUGAAAGCAGAUAAGGUUUUCCCUUUCCUGGGGCAAGAAAAUGAGUCUCCCUCCUGCGAGGAGGACUCUCCAUGCCAGGUGAGAAUGUCUGUGUCUUGCCUGUGUGUCUUGCCCUGGACGGUGCCCCUGUGUCGGGUUGAGCCUUCUCGGUCUUCGUGGAGGCCUGGACACUCCUGUUGUUUCUCAGUGGAGGCGUGAGCAAUACCGCGUGAUCGCGGUGUUUCAUCUUUAUUCAAAUGCUCUGUGGUUCCUGUGAGACGAGACAAGCUUCAGAGAGCCUUGUAAGAACAGACAUUUGUUUUGCUCUCUUUUCAUGAGCGCUCCUUGGCCCCCCCCCCUUUUUUUUUUUUU